GCGGACGUGGCGAAACGGUAGACGCAGCGGACUUAAAAUCCGCUCCCCGCAAGGGGGUAUGGGUUCGACUCCCAUCGUCCGCACCA
Molecule: transfer RNA, 86 nt
Filed under: Alphaproteobacteria bacterium
Lineage: Bacteria; Pseudomonadati; Pseudomonadota; Alphaproteobacteria
Description: tRNA-Leu
Rfam family: tRNA
About the family: Transfer RNA (tRNA) molecules are approximately 80 nucleotides in length.
Source: RNAcentral